Molecule: transfer RNA, 71 nt
Filed under: Loxodonta africana (African savanna elephant)
Lineage: Eukaryota; Metazoa; Chordata; Mammalia; Proboscidea; Elephantidae
Rfam family: tRNA
About the family: Transfer RNA (tRNA) molecules are approximately 80 nucleotides in length. Their secondary structure includes four short double-helical elements and three loops (D, anti-codon, and T loops). Further hydrogen bonds mediate the characteristic L-shaped molecular structure. tRNAs have two regions of fundamental functional importance: the anti-codon, which is responsible for specific mRNA codon recognition, and the 3' end, to which the tRNAs corresponding amino acid is attached (by aminoacyl-tRNA synthetases). tRNAs cope with the degeneracy of the genetic code in two manners: having more than one tRNA (with a specific anti-codon) for a particular amino acid; and 'wobble' base-pairing, i.e. permitting non-standard base-pairing at the 3rd anti-codon position.
Source: Rfam by way of RNAcentral
GUAUUGGUGGUUCAGUGGUAGAAUUCUCACCUUCCAUGUGGGAGAACUGGGUUCGCUUCCCUGGCAGUGCA